GGCACCGCGCUUGGUGGCCGAGUGGUUAAGGCGCGGCCCUGCUAAGGGCGUGGGGCCCUCCCCGCGUGCGUUCGAUCGCAUCGGGUGCCG
Molecule: transfer RNA, 90 nt
Filed under: Pleodorina starrii
Lineage: Eukaryota; Viridiplantae; Chlorophyta; Chlorophyceae; Chlamydomonadales; Volvocaceae
Description: tRNA-Ser
Source: RNAcentral